GGGGCCAUAGCUCAGUUGGGAGAGCGCUUGAAUGGCAUUCAAGAGGUCGGGGGUUCGACUCCCCCUGGCUCCA
RNAcentral lists this transfer RNA (73 nucleotides) under Lutibaculum baratangense AMV1. RNAcentral's name for it is "Phyllobacteriaceae bacterium AMV1 tRNA". It matches the Rfam family "tRNA". Rfam says of the family: Transfer RNA (tRNA) molecules are approximately 80 nucleotides in length. The record is from Rfam by way of RNAcentral. Lineage: Bacteria; Pseudomonadati; Pseudomonadota; Alphaproteobacteria; Hyphomicrobiales; Tepidamorphaceae. RNAcentral also lists the same sequence under 4 other names.